GACGAACGCUGGCGGCGUGCUUAACACAUGCAAGUCGAACGGAAAGGCCCUGCUUUUGUGGGGUGCUCGAGUGGCGAACGGGUGAGUAACACGUGAGUAACCUGCCCUUGACUUUGGGAUAACUUCAGGAAACUGGGGCUAAUACCGGAUAGGAGCUCCUGCUGCAUGGUGGGGGUUGGAAAGUUUCGGCGGUUGGGGAUGGACUCGCGGCUUAUCAGCUUGUUGGUGGGGUAGUGGCUUACCAAGGCUUUGACGGGUAGCCGGCCUGAGAGGGUGACCGGCCACAUUGGGACUGAGAUACGGCCCAGACUCCUACGGGAGGCAGCAGUGGGGAAUAUUGCACAAUGGGCGGAAGCCUGAUGCAGCAACGCUGCGUGUGGGAUGACGGCCUUCGGGUUGUAAACCGCUUUCGCCUGUGACGAAGCGUGAGUGACGGUAAUGGGUAAAGAAGCACCGGCUAACUACGUG
RNAcentral lists this ribosomal RNA (468 nucleotides) under uncultured bacterium. Its description in RNAcentral is "partial 16S ribosomal RNA". It matches the Rfam family "Bacterial small subunit ribosomal RNA", at positions 28 to 507 of the family's 1533-position model. The record is from RNAcentral.